RNAcentral lists this ribosomal RNA (505 nucleotides) under uncultured bacterium. RNAcentral's name for it is "bacterial SSU rRNA". It matches the Rfam family "Bacterial small subunit ribosomal RNA", at positions 28 to 513 of the family's 1533-position model. The record is from RNAcentral.
GAUGAACGCUGGCGGCGUGCCUCAAACAUGCAAGUCGAGCGAGGCUAUGAAUUACCGCAAGGUAAGGCAUAGCCUAGCGGCGAACGGGUGAGUAACACGUGGGUAACCUACCUGGAAGACAGGGAUAACGAUUCGAAAGGGUCGCUAAUACCUGAUAAUAUCCAUCUGCCGGAUGGCGGAGGGAAGAAAGGGGAAACCCGCUUUCAGAUGGGCCCGCGUCCCAUCAGCUAGUUGGUAAGGUAAAGGCUUACCAAGGCGACGACGGGUAGCCGGUCUGAGAGGAUGUACGGCCACACUGGGACUGAGAUACGGCCCAGACUCCUACGGGAGGCAGCAGUUGGGAAUCUUAGGCAAUGGACGAAAGUCUGACCUAGCGACGCCGCGUGAGGGAAGAAGGCCUUCGGGUUGUAAAGUUCUUUUCUAUACGAGCAGUGCUAUAUAUAUGGAUAGUAUAUAUAGAGGGAUAGUAGUAUAGGAAUAAGCAACGGCUAACUCCGUGCCAGCA